ACGAACGCUGGCGGCGUGCUUAACACAUGCAAGUCGAACGGAAGGACCCUGCUUUUGUGGGGUGCUCGAGUGGCGAACGGGUGAGUAACACGUGAGUAACCUGCCCUUGACUUUGGGAUAACUUCAGGAAACUGGGGCUAAUACCGGAUAGGAGCUCCUGCUGCAUGGUGGGGGUUGGAAAGUUUCGGCGGUUGGGGAUGGACUCGCGGCUUAUCAGCUUGUUGGUGGGGUAGUGGCUUACCAAGGCUUUGACGGGUAGCCGGCCUGAGAGGGUGACCGGCCACAUUGGGACUGAGAUACGGCCCAGACUCCUACGGGAGGCAGCAGUGGGGAAUAUUGCACAAUGGGCGGAAGCCUGAUGCAGCAACGCCGCGUGCGGGAUGACGGCCUUCGGGUUGUAAACCGCUUUCGCCUGUGACGAAGCGUGAGUGACGGUAAUGGGUAAAGAAGCACCGGCUAACUACGUG
Molecule: ribosomal RNA, 467 nt
Filed under: uncultured bacterium
Lineage: Bacteria
Description: partial 16S ribosomal RNA
Rfam family: Bacterial small subunit ribosomal RNA
Source: RNAcentral